ACUCUGGAUAGCUCAGUCGGUACAGCACGAGACUGUUAAUCUCAGGGUUGUUGGUUUGAGCCCUGUGUUGGGUG
This is a non-coding RNA of Podarcis lilfordi (Lilford's wall lizard), 74 nucleotides long. The record is from the annotation of a GenBank genome assembly. NCBI's taxonomy places the organism in Eukaryota, Metazoa, Chordata, Lepidosauria, Squamata, Lacertidae.